RNAcentral lists this ribosomal RNA (301 nucleotides) under uncultured bacterium. Its description in RNAcentral is "partial 16S ribosomal RNA". It matches the Rfam family "Bacterial small subunit ribosomal RNA", at positions 509 to 808 of the family's 1533-position model. The record is from RNAcentral.
CAGUAGCCGCGGUAAUACGUAGGGUGCGAGCGUUAAUCGGAAUUACUGGGCGUGAAGCGUGCGCAGGCGGUUAUAUAAGACAGAUGUGAAAUCCCCGGGCUCAACCUGGGACCUGCAUUUGUGACUGUAUAGCUAGAGUACGGUAGAGGGGGAUGGAAUUCCGCGUGUAGCAGUGAAUGCGUAGAUAUGCGGAGGAACACCGAUGGCGAAGGCAAUCCCCUGGACCUGUACUGACGCUCAUGCACGAAAGCGUGGGGAGCAAACAGGAUUAGAUACCCCAGUAGUCCCUGUCUCUUAUACA